RNAcentral lists this long non-coding RNA (39916 nucleotides) under Coffea arabica (coffee). RNAcentral's name for it is "long non-coding RNA (CARA_LNC002466)". Lineage: Eukaryota; Viridiplantae; Streptophyta; Magnoliopsida; Gentianales; Rubiaceae. The record is from RNAcentral.
CUGAAGGUAAACGGCACAAAAGUUGUGGGAUGUCGCCUAGAAGGACUGAUGAACGGAAAACAAAACAUAGGAAGCGCUCAAGGUCAAGGUCGACAGAACACAAGUAUCACUCGAGUGAUAAUGGUGUGCAGGAAACUAAGCAUGAGAAUGUGAAACAUCUGAAGGAAAGACCCACUGAAUCAGAUGAUUCCUCCAUGGAACCUGGUCCUAAGGACUUAAAUGAUUCAGAAAAUGAUGAUGGCCAUAUGGAAAUCAAUAAAAGGGAUGAGCGUGACUAUGAGAGAACCGAGGCUACUGUGACAGAACUAAACCUUACCAAGAAACGUGAACUAGUUUGAAAUGCUGUCACCAAAGGCAAUGGUAUUUAUUUUGUGUAAUGGAGGAUUGCUAAUGCAUCAAAAGCAACCUGUACUUUGAAGUAACUCGGUUUGAAGUUUAGGCUUGUGUGGAAAGGGCUGCGAAAAGAGGAAGAUCUGGGUUUCUCUUGGAAGAUCCUCAAUUUCUUUUCUGCUCCCAAAUAUUAGGAUGAUAUGUGGCUCUCUUGUGAUAAUUACCUUUUUUUUUUCCCUUCCUUCUUCUCCUGAUUGCAGGUUGUUGAUGGAGUGGAGUUGCUGUAUUCUGAAGCUAUCUUGCUAUCAUAUUUCAGGAAGUCCUGUGCCUAUUUAAAUCAACUGAGCUAUAAUUUAUGGAACUACUGUAUGAGCUUGAUCUAAGCUGAUCUCUUACCUUCAUCAGUAGGUAGUGAGUUUGUUCAAUGCUGUCUCUGUUUAAGGAUUUUCUCUUUUUAAGGAUACUGGUGACUCAUUUAAUUGUGUUACUACUGAACUUUGUCCUGCAUCUCUUUCCUCUUGAAUGGUAUUUGCUUGUCCUUUAGGAAAUCUGUGGUUAGAGGAACCAGCCACCUAUCUUUAAACUGUUUCAAAACAUUAGAACUCUUAGCUGUUGUGAGUUUUUGUUCCCCUUCUUUUUUCGUUGGUGAAGUAUACAGUUUGGAAUAAGGAGAACUAUAGUCUGCACGGUAGGAAUUAAUCUAUUAUUUUUAUUACAGAAUAUUUGUUUACUUGUGGGGAGAUAGGUCAUCUUACACCUCUUUCCCUUUGUUCUUUUUUAUUGGAUAUAUUUUUCUAUUUUCUUCUUGAAUUUGUUAUUGAUAAGCAGCGGGCAGAGCUCUAUGUUAAUAGGGGCUUUUGGGCAAUAAUAGUUCAUUUUAGAUUUGCAUUUGAUGGUUUUGGUGGGCCUGUUACAUUUCAAGAACAUGCAGGUCCUCAAGCUGGUAUCAAGUGGUGCUUUACUGAUCAAUUUGGCGAGAUUGUGUUAUCUGGUUGUGUAUGAAGGUAUGCAAUCAUGGAUUCUGGUGGUCUAGUGGCAGGAGCUUUUGCUGUUAAUUUUGAUGAUAGAUUGUUCACUGAUUUUUGUUGGUCCAAUUUUGAUUGAAGUCCAAUUUUGGUUGAAGAUGAAGUUUGUUUCUGUACUUGAUACUUUGUAAUGCUCCUUUCCUCAUGUUUCUUUUGUCUUUUCUUUUUUUUUGGUUUUUUUUUUUUUUGGGGGAAGAGGGGGGGGGGGUUGGGUUUCCCCCUUCCCUUUUCUAUCUUCUUUCCUCCUUCCCUGUUUCUUCUCUAUAUUCCUUGGAAUGCUUGGUUAGGUAAUUUAUCAUUGACUCGAAAAGGAGGUUGCUGAGAUGGUUAGCAACAUAGCUUCCAGCUUUUCUCCCUGUGAAGUGAUCACAUUGGCCAACUUAAAGGGGCUGAGUUUCGUGGUGAAACUCUGUGUGCGCAGGUAAUUAGUUGUCUUAGACUGUUAUCCAAUAUUGUCUUCCUUGGAGGGAAAUGAAGUUAGCUACCCUAGGGCACGGAGAUUACUCUUGCUAAAGAUACCUAUCACUAGACAAGUAGUCUAACCCUCAGAGCAGCAGAUAGCUUGUUUGGUACACGAACCAUCUAGUUUAAUGAUAGGUAUAUUACAUUAGUUUCAUGUUGCUGAUGUUUAAUUUUGGAGUACAUUGAUGAUCAUUGCUCGAUCUGUCUAUAUCCAUGAUUGAGUGUUCACUUAUAUGCGGUCUGUGUGUACGCGUACGGAUGGGGAAAAUUGUGAUUAAGCUGAAGCUCGUGAGCCAGUUGGAUGAAGUUCAGAUCACCUGGAACAAACCUAAUGUCACAACAAUCUAAUUUGUCCUUAAACUUCAAUAUUCUCACAUAUUAGUUAAUUUGUUUUGGAUAGGUAAACUUUAUUAAUUGAAAUCUAAUAGAACACACCCUAUAGUUAAUUGCUUGAUAGCUAAUGCUUAUGUUAUUUUCAUGUUGUCAAUGUCUGUUUCUUUCCUGCUGCACUCCUCUAAAAAUAUUCUGAAUUCUUAACUAUAUUGGAUACGGUGGUGUUCAUUCAACAUGUACUUCCACACGAGUACUUCACAGGAAUUGUUGCCAACAAGGGUUGGCUCCAGUCACAUUUCUUGGACAUAUGCAUUCUUUGUUGGUGAGAGAUUUGUACGAACUGCUGGCUUGAAGGUUGGGCAACCUCGCAACUUGCUUCCUAAACUUUUAUUCUUAACAAGAUUUUUUUUUAAAAAAAAAAGACUAGGUAAAGGGAUUUUUUUUGGUGGCUUCAUAUUAUUGAUAAAACAAGUGAUUUGGGUAAUAUCGUGGAAAUGUGGAAACCACAAUACUGAUGUAAAGGCGAGAAAAAAAGUUGCUGCGAAAUAAAAUAUAGCUCCGAGAUUGAAUUCUUAUAAUCUAGACUUCAACAAUGGCGGUUUCAUUGUACGCCAUUAUGUUCAAAAAGUCAUUGAUCACUGUAUAAAGUUAACGAGGAAACUUUGUGGACGGUCCAUAAAAACGAUUGCUUGUGUAUGAUUUUAGCCAAUCAACUAUAAACUAUCACAAAGAAGCCUUGAAUUAAAAGAAAUGAUCAAUUUAAGGACUUUUAUCAAUUUUGGCCGUUAGAGGUGACAAAAUUAGGGGUAAAACCGAUCAAACGAAAAAAAAAUUAAUAGCUUAAAAGUCCUCAUUCAUUAAAUUAGGGUUAGAAAAGGUAGAAGAUGAAAGAAAAGGAGGCUUUAACAAGCUAUUUGUUUUGCUGGAAUAAGAGGGCAAGGAAAGGAAAGGAAAGGAAAUGGAGGGGUGUAUGAUUUUUGAUGUUUGGGAUUGGUCUUUGAAGAGAGAGAGGAAAUGAUUGGGAGGGAAGAGGAUUUAGUUAUUUUUUGUCAGCUUACUUUUGGUCUAAAAGUGGGUGAAAAUGGAGGGAAAGGACAUUAAGAUUAAUGAAAAUUUUAAAAAUUUUUAAAAAGCCUAUUAUAUGUUUAUAAAUUAAACUUUUAAAUUAUAGGUAAAAACUUAACAAACAGAUGGAUUAGAAAUGUACUAUGGUGUGUGCUUCAUAGGUUCGAGACAAGGGGGAAAAUACCCUGAAAGAAAGACCUUUACGGGAACAUCAACGUAGUGAAAGUAGACAGCGUUUGGGACGAAAAUAUAAUUAUGUUAUGUGACCUUUAACUAAUUUGUAAGACUCUUAUGGGACCUUCUUCUCUUCUUCUUUUUUUUUUUUUUUUUUUUGUCAAUUUGUCAAAAAAUGAGAAGUUUUCCACCCACUUCCACUUGUCCAUUUCAAAACUCCCCAUGAGUGAUGCCAAGAUGUUCACUCUUGAGCUAAAUAUUAUAAUUAUUACAACAUGUGGGUGUUUUAGAAGCCAAUUGUUAAUUUUUUUUUGUUCACAUUAACAUUUAGAAGAGAUUUACAUAGAGGUGGCAAUUUUUCCCAAGUCCCAAUGGGUUACCCAUGCCCAUGGGGACUUUGGGCGGGAUGGGUACUGAAAUUUGAUAUUGGGUUUAAAAUGAGACAAAUCCCAAUUGUACCCAUUAAUUGAUGGGAAAUCUUGGGAACUACUUGGUACCCAUUGGGCUCAAAUAGCAAGGGCUCCGUUUGGAUUAGUUAUUUUUGGGGGGUAUUUUUGAAAUAUUUUAUUGUAGUAGUGUAUAUGAAAAAUUUUUACUAUAAAUUUUUUUUUGAAAUAUUUGAUAUACUAAUAUAGAUGGGAUAUUUUUUGAAUUAUUGUAUAUUACUGUAAUAUUGUAUUUGAAAAACUUAUUUUUUGAAAAAAGCCAAUCCAAACGGAGUCUUAGAUUCAAAAAUUAUCUUUAACAAUUUUUAUAGUCAUACUAACGAAUAUAAUCUAGUAGUCUUCCUAGUCAUUAUCCACAAGAAUUUCCAGCAUUUCAGUCAAUUUAGACCUGUGGAUGUGAUUAAACCCAUUUCACUAACUCAGGCCUCUACAAAUACAUUAGUGUAGUUCUAAAAGGUAUAUAUUCAGAAUAAAUCUUCACUUGAAAAAUUUUAGUUCCAAUAUCGAGAACAUAUGCCUACAAUGAUCCAAGUUAAAACAACAGGAAACACUAAUAAUAUUAAAGAACCAAAAAAGAAAAAGGCCUUGAGCAUUGAUUUGUUUUUCCUUUCCACCAUUUUCCAAUCUCGAUGAGACAAUUCUUCAAAAACAUACAUAAACACCAAAUUUGCAAGAAUACCUGAGUAUUGGCUCCAGUGAUAGCCUGCUUUUUAUUUGUAAUCUAGAAAGCAGUUUUGAAACGAUCAAUUCCCUUUGCAAUAUAAUUUGUGGUAGGGUUUGUACCAAGGGGAACAUUUCUUGAUAAAAUGAAAUAAAAUCCUCGGCAGUAUUUAAUUCCUGCAUUUGUCAAAAAAAAAAAGACAACAAUAUCAGCAGAAUUUAAAUGUGAGAUGGAAGUGUACAAAUUUUUGCUAUCUCAAAAAAGGUAUAAUCAUAUGAAGUUGGAUAGAAAGGACAAAACAAACAGCAAUCUAGAAAUAUACAAGACACAUAAUAAAUUGCUGACAAGUACACCCAGACAGAAGCAGACAGACCAGCCAUGCCAUACAUUAGAUCCAUAACCUUGUGGAUAGUUUCCAGCACAGUAACAUAGAGGCUGAAAACCAAUAUGGAACAAUGCCAAGAAUCUUCUUUAGACCUUCCUGCCUAGGCAAAAAUACCAAAGGAAGAAAACAAGAACUUCCAGAAAAUAUUCAAAACAACCCUCGCUAAACAUGAUUCUGAUCAUGUCACCUUCAUAAAUUACUUAUCCUAACACAAACUCCUUUGCCUUGAAAACAUUCUUUGGUGCAUUAGAAGUAAUAGCACUUCCUACUUCAAAAGGAUGCCAUUGAUUUACUCCUCCUACCUCAAGCAAGAUAUGGACCACACCUUCAUUUAUUUCACAUUAACUUUGUAGAUUAAAGACAGUGCCAAAACUACUAAAACUAAUCUGCCUGUAUAUGCCAGUAGAUUAGUCCACAAAGCCAGAAGGGUCAUCCUCAUCUAGUCACUGUUACAUCAAAACCACCAAGAUUCUACACAGCAUCAUCAACAUCUCCAAAGCACAUUGUCCAGCACCGCAAAACCCCCUGAAAAAUCCCCCUUACCAAUUGAAAUUCCCAAACUAACACACUCAAAAUAAAAAUAAUUUUCUAGCUUCUGAAUAAAAAAUGAACUUUUUGAAAGAUAUAUGGCAGAAAAAAAGAAAGCCACAACUAGAUUCCAUGUAUUGCUUAUAUUGCACAAAUGGCUUUCUGAAUCCUUUAAAAACAUAAGCAGGCACCUAUAACUGAUGUUUAAAACCAAAUAAGUCGGAACAAAGCAGAUGAAAAAGCUUUUCUUGAAAUGCUACCCACUUUUCAUGUAAGCUUAGCAGUUUCUCCCGAUGUGCAGACAUCAAAUUCCAAAACCCAAUAAAAUAUGUCUCAUAUUACUUUAAUGUUUCCUACUUGUCGUCUAAAAAUGAAAUCUUUAUCCUAAAAGAACAGCCAAAAAAUGUACUGAUAUCCCCAAUAAGAACCCUCGAGAAAUAGCUGCACAAGUUACACCAAAAAAAAACUACAAUUCAAAUCACAAUUACUUCAGAAAUAGAAGAAUAUUGAAACAUACUCUCCAUUCAACUAGGCAAUCGCGAAAAAACGUGGACCCUUCAGAAGGCUCAGCUUUAACAGGGUCCAAACUUCGGUAUACAUUAAUAUCAAUCUCUGCAAUUUGUUGAACAUUGGACUUGUACUGCACCACCCCAAAAAAAAAACUUCAGAAUUAAAAAAAAAAUAAUUCCAUAAUACUCUCGUCAACCAAGAAGGAAAAAAAAUGAACAACUUGAAUAAAAAGAACUGCAAUUUUUUAUUUGCAUACAAAAAAUUAAGAAAGAUAGAUAGCUUACAACAAAUUUCUUGCUUCCCUCGCCUGUGUUUAGAGACUUUACGGCUCGAGCGUCCGCGGGCGUCGCCAUUGGUGCCUCACCCAAGCUCAAUCUCUGGAAAAGGGAGGGAGAAGGGGGGAGGGUUUAACUUUAAGAGGUUAGCUAACUACCGACUUCAGAAGUUGAGAGGAGGGUUUAAGGUUUUCAGUUUAUUGUUGUUCCUUUUUGACCUUUUUCUUUUUUUUUUGAUUUUUUGUAGUUAACUUAUUCAUAUCCUAUCCUAAUCCUAUCCUAAAUCCUAAACUACAUAAAGCGCCGAAAUCCUAUCCUAAACUACAUAAAGCGCCCAAAGUCGAGCUACAGUUAAUUGUGCCGGUUUCGCUGUGAUUUCGCAGCUGAUUUCGUCCUUUUUGGUCUUUUCGCAGGCUCCAUGCAGCGGCUUUGCUUCCUGUUCCGCUUGUCCUCAUUUCUUUUUUUGUUGCUUUGUUCCCAUUGUACCCUUUCCCUUGGUUCGUUUGUAAUUUGCCAAUCAAUUUUGUCCUUUUGUUUCUUCGAUCUUUUCCUCCCGUCGUUUUGCUAUCUUCAAGCCGUGUAUAUUGACCAAAGUAUUUUUAUGUUUACAAUUUUACCACUUUUUUAUAUUUAUUCCCUUACUUAUUAACUUUCUCUAAAACGUGUAUAUUAACAAACAUAUUAAAUAUCAAAAAAUAUGCAGGUUGCUAUAUACACAAACAUAUUAAAUAUCAAAAAAAUAUGCAAGUUGCUAAAUAUCCUAUGUACAUCUAAUAAAUACAAACGAAUAAAAAUUCUAUAUGUAUCUAAUCAAUAUAUAUCAAUAUAUAUAAAUUGAUUAUUGUGUUUUGUAUUAAUGCAGAUCAAUGAAAAUCAUAUAUAUUUAGCAUGCAUCUAAUAUAUAUAAAUUAAUAAUACUACUUUGUAUUAACAUAUAUAAGUGUUAUUUAUGUGAAAUAAUUAUAAUUUCGACACUAUUUCUAUGUUUAUAAUUUUCCGUCCUUCUUUAUAUUUAUCCGCUUAUUUAUUAACUCACUUGUUUAUUAACUUUGUUAAAAGUGUGUGUAUUGAAAAAAAAUAUUAAAUAUCAAAAAAUUACGCAUGUCACUAAAAAUCCUAUGUAUAUCUAAUACAUACUAACGAAUAAAACUCUAUAUGUUUCUAAUCAAUAUACAUAAAUCAAUUAUGCUGUUUUGCAUUAAUGCAGAUCAAUAAAAAUUAUAUGUGUUUAACCUAUAUCUAAUAUAUAUAAAUUAAUAAUACUACCUUGUAUUAACAUAUAAUAAGUGUUAUAAUACUACCUUGUGUUAGCCCCUACUUAAACAUUAAUUACUAGAAGCAAUAAUUAAGACCAAAAGUUAUCAAAAUUUUCAACAUACUUGAUACGAAUAUAAAAAUCAUCCCAAUAAGAAAACAAAGCAGAUACAAUUCAUACUACAUACAAAUGCGAAUAAUACAUAACAGUCGUUAACAACUUCAGAGCCGGAGAAAAAAGCUUACUUGAUUAGAGGCACAAGAGAGUCGGAACAAAAACUUUGGGGAAUUUCGGAAGAAGCAGAGACAGAAAGCGAAUGAACCUUUUUCUGGGAAGAUUUUCGAUAAAGCUCUCAGCCCUAGGGUCUGUUUGAUAACAUAAAAAAGUGCUGAAUCUGAAUUGUUUCAGACAUUCAGAUGUUUUGAGUGUUUGAUAAAUGAAAAUCAAUUUGCUGAACUUGUUAAGCAGUGUUGAACUUGUGUGUAUUUUUUUCAGCACAAGAAUCCUAACUGAAUGCUUAAUUUUGAUAAGAAUCAAUAGAAUUACUUCAACUACCUUAUCUUAUGUACCAAAUCCACCCUUGUUUGUUAAUUAUGUUCAAAAUUCUUAUUUAAUUAAAUAACCUAAUAUUCUCUAUCUAACGAUUUUUAGUUUCUCUUUCUAUCUUUUUAAUGACUUUCACAUCUUCUCCAUACUCCUCAUAUAAUAUAUUUCAUCUUUUAUAUUAAUUUGAUUUAAAAAUAAAUAUUAUCAUUUUCAUACCUAACAAAUUUAAACUAAUUAAAUCAUAGAUUUUUUUUUUUUUUUGAAUGAAAGAUAUAAGGGCAAAAUUGUCAAAUUAAACUUAUUAAGCAUUCAACUAUAAAUAUUUAUCAAACAAUAUAAAUAGGUUUAGCAUUAAAAUUCAGACAUUCAUAUAUUUUUUUCAGUGCUUAAAAUUCAGCAAAUUAAUUAUUUCAGUAUUCAGAUUUCAGAAUUCAGACUUCAGAAUCCAGAUCCAGUUUUAUCAAACGGAACCUAACCUAGUCUUUUUCCAGUGAUAGUGGUAGAGUGAAAGAACGAAACCCUUUCUUAGUAUUAGUUUCUGAUUUUUUGAAGGGUUAAUUACAAUUUGCCUCCUCAACAUUAAGGAAAGUCACACUUUUCCCCUGUGGAGUUUGGAGCAUGGGAGAGAAACAUAUUUUGUUGUUUCAAUUGACUUUUGAGCACGGAAAGAAAAGAAUAAGGAGGAAAAGAGAGGGGAAGGCUCUAACUAUUUUAUUUUGUUAAAUUAUAUUUUCGGCCCAAAGUGGGCGGAAACGGGGAAAUUAAUUGAAAUGAAUUUAAAUAUUUUCAAAAGAUCAUUUGUUUUUCUCUAUCUUUUUCACUAAGUUGACACUUAUUUUUUUCUUUUCUUUUUUUUUUCCUUCUUCAAUCCAAAUAAAAAUUCAGUAUUUUUUUUCUUUUCCUUCCAUAUUUAAUCCAAAUAAGAUGGAAGCAAACCAUUUUCCUCUGCUUUCCUUUCCUUUCUUUUCCAUUGAUAUUCUCUCCUUUCCUUUCCCUUCCCUUCCUUCAAUCCAAACGAAGCCCGGACAAGAAAUCAAAAGCUUGGAAUAUCAGUAGAUACUCUCGUCUAUGUGUAAUGCUUUAACAUGGCAUAGAUUAGUGUCAUAUAACAGAUUUUGUGCAAUUUUUAUGCGUUCCAAGAAUUUUUUGGACUAGUACUACUCUAACCAUUGUAAUUUCGAGACUAUUUCUAUAUUUAUAAUUUUCUCUCCUUCUUUAUAUUUAUCUGCUUCUUUAUUAACUCGCUUAUUUAUUAAUUUUGUCGAAAGUGUGUAUAUUGAUCAAAAUAUUAACUAUUAAAAAAAUACGCAAAUCACUAAAAAUGCUAAUGCAUAUCUAAUACAUAAAAUAGCCUUCUUUUUAUAUUUAUUCGCUUAUUUAUUAAUUUUCUCCAAAAUAUAUAUUAGCAAAAAUAUUAAAUAUGAAAAAUAUGCAAAUUCCUAAAAAUCCUACGUACAUCUAAUAUAUGCAGAUGAAUAAAAAUUCUAUGUGUAUCUAAUCAAUAUAUAUAAAUCAAUUAUGAUGUUUCGUAUUAAUACGAAUCAAUGAAAAUUAUAUGUACUUAACAUGUAUCUAAUAUAUAUAAAUUUAAUUAAUUUUCUCAAAAAUGUAUAUAUUAGCAAAAAUAUUAAAUAUGAAAAAAAUAUGCAAAUCGCUAAAAAACCUACGUGCAUCUAAUAUAUGCAAAUGAAUACAAAUUCUAUGUGUAUCCAGUCAAUAUAUAUAAAUUGAUUAUGCUAUUUCGUAUUAAUACAAAUGAAUGAAAAUCAUAUGUACUUGACAUGUAUCUAAUAUAUAUAAACUUAAAAAUAAAUCAAUCCAAUAUUUAUUGAUUCAAAAAAAUUAUUCGAUCAAUAAAUACAAAUAUAUGAUUCUAAAUUUAUAAUUUCAAAUUGUUAAAAAUCCUUAAUUUGUAUAUAUUAUAUUUAUGAAUUUAUAUUCUUCACUAUAUUUCUUUUCUUUUAGUUUUUCUAAUACUAAACUCUUCCACUAUCUAACACACAAUCUUGAAUCUUUGGUGAGUUUCAUAUAAAUUACAUUCCAAUCAAUAUAAUUCAUACACUACAUUGCUACUCUCAUUUCAUAAUACAACUACGUUUUUUCCCUAUUUUCUAUCUCAUGUAUUCAUUGGUGAUAUACCCUCGCAUAUACAAACAGUCAACAUAGGAGUCAUCAAUUGCUAUCAUACUAAAACUCGAUGGAUCUUUCAGUUAGAAGGAAUAGAAAUAACAGAAAGUUGGCCAAUAUUGGCACAAAAACACUUCUUACAUGAAGGAAGUGUCAUCCUGUUCACCUUGCUCAAUGAAAAUAAUUAUCAUCGGCAACUCUUCAGUAGAGACUUUAUCCAACAAUCAUAAUUAAACGUGUCCACUACAGCUUCUUGCACAUAGCAAUUAUCUGUUCCCUAAAUUUUCUUUAUUCUGCUUCCACUUAUAUUUAACAAUAUAAAAAUAAACAUAUCGAAAUUAUUUCGAAUUAUUAAUUUAUCUCAACUCUUAAAAAAUGAUUUACAUUCCAUUAAUUUAAAUAAUAUUUACAUCCUGUUACUCUUAAAAAUUAAAUACAAAUCACAACAAUAUUACUAUAUCUAUUUAUAAAUAUAUUAAUCCAAUAUAUUAUUCCUCUAUUUAUUAUUCCAACCCCACUAUCAUAUAAAACACUCUAAACAUUAAUUAUUAUAUAAAUCUUACAUUACUCUUAAACAAUUAAUAAUGGGCACCCCGCGAAACUCGCGGGGCACAAUGCCUAGUAAUUUUCCAUCCGACAUGGAAAAUUAGGUUUUAUUGAGGUUUUACCGACUUUAGGCAAAUUAAUAGAAAUGGACCCUUCAAAUCCGUACAAGUCCAGUCCUCUUUUGAUCUUUGUUAAAAUUUUGAAAUUUACAAACAGCUAGGCAAGGAAGGAAUUACGUUUAACUUCGAAAAUAAUUGUAAAAAAAGAUAAUAACUAUACUUUUUUUGAGGAUUUUGUUCUAUGUAAAUAGAUUAAUCAUUUUUUCAAAUGAAAGGAAUCCAGCAUCUUCUACUUAUAAAUCUUCUUAUUUAGUAGCAAAAAAAGCUAAUCUAAUAAUAUGCAAAAAAAGACUAAUCUAAUUAAAUACAAGCAGUAUCAAGUAUAAAAAGCAAUUCAAGAUCCAAAACUUUAUAAGUAAAUAACUUGAACUAUAAUUGGAUAUAAGAUUUAUUGAAAGAAUAUGUCUGGAUAUAAUUGGAUAUUUCAAAACUUACUACUCUUACAUACUUGAUAUUUGAAAAAUAUAAGAUUAUUUGAAACAUAUUAUUUGAAAUAAUACCAUAUAAGAUUAUUUAAAAAAUAUUAUUUUAAAUAAUGACGUGAUACAUGUAAAAUAAAAAAAUUAGUUGAAAAUUAUAUUUAUAAUGUAAGAGGAUUUUUUUUUACAAAAUUAUAUUGUCCAAAAUAUAAUUGCCUAAUUGGGAAUGAUUUCAUAAUUACGACAACUAUAUGGGAGGUUAACGUAAUUUUGUCAAAUUGUAAAAGGUAGAGUCUCUGCAGCCGAAAAUACUCCUCUCAAUCGUUAAAAGCAUCUUGCAAUCGUCCUUUUCCACCCCUUGCCCAGUCCUACCCACUCGCCGUUACUCCUAAGGUACGCCAUCUCGCCGCCACCUCCACCUCCACCGCGCGUGCAUACACACUCACGCGUACAAAACACAAUCACACACACACACACACACACACUCAUCACGAGGGCAAAAAUUUCCAAUUAGGGUUUUUAAAAUUAUUGUAAAGUUUCGAUUUUUAUUAUUACUGAUAAUAAUUUAGUACUACUUGAAUUAAGGUUGUGGGGGAAAAUCAUCUGAGGGCGAUUCUGUAAUUUACUACAAAUCUAAUGGCGGAUCGGAACAGCAGCACGAACGGCAAUCCCAAUGUGGCUGCGGCUGCGGCGGCGGGGGCGGCUGCCACCGGCGCCGUGGGAAAGACGAUAUGGAUGAAGCAAGCGGAGGAAGCUAAGCUCAAAAGCGAAGCGGAGAAAGCUGCGGCUGCCAAAGCAGCUUUCGAGGCCACGUUUAAGAACUCCUCCAACAAUACGGCUGCAGCUGCCGGGUCCGAAGACGAUGACGACGAUGAAGAUGAGGAGGAAAGAGAGCGAAGAAGGCUGGCUUUAAAGCCAAUUGGUCCAGUGGACCCCGGUAAGUGCACCGCUGCCGGUGCAGGGAUCGCCGGUGGGACUGCGUGCGUGGGGUCGACUUUUGUGGUGGUUACAAAGGAUGCGGAUGGCCGGAAGUUGCCUCACGGUGGGGCUCAGGUCAAAGUUAGGGUUUCACCUGGAGUUGGAGUGGGAGGAACCGAGCAGGAGGGGAUUGUGAAGGAUAUGGGGGAUGGGACGUAUACAGUGACGUAUGUUGUUCCAAAGAGAGGGAAUUAUAUGGUGAAUGUUGAGUGUAAUGGGAAGGCUAUCAUGGGGAGCCCUUUCCCUGUGUUCUUCAGCUCAGGUAUAUAUGAAACUCUGUUAAAAAAACAUAAAGAUAUACUACUUUUCUCGAAUGCUUGUACAGAGAAUUCAACAGAUGUCAGUUUCAUAACCUAAAAUAUAAAAUAUUUCGUGAAGAUGUAGUUUAGUAUGCAGAGUGAUGCAUAUGUGGGGAUAAGGAUUUUUGAGUUUGUAGCUUGUUCUUGAUAAAUGGCAUUGUUAUUCUGUGUAUAAACAUGUGUGCCGAAAUUUUUGGACUAGUGAAGUUUUGACUCAAGAUAUAUUUAGAGGUUCUAUGUAUUUCAGACAUUAUGCCUGCUAGUGAUUAUCUUUUUAAUCUCUAUGGGGUUGGAGGAACCUUUUAUAUUUUAGUUCUUGAACAUUUUGUGCUUUAAUUUAGAUGAAUUAGCUGGCGCUGGUAUAAAACACUGGUUGACUUUCAGCUUAUUAAUGAGUUACAUUGAGUUUAUAUUGCUAAUGCUUGAUUGUAAAGUUUUAGAGCAUCAUUUUUUAUACCAGUUGUUGCUUCCCUCCUUUUUUUUUUUUGGUUUCAGAGCAAGAAUAGCAUGUCAAACCUUUGGCUCUUGUACUUUGGAGUUGGGAACAGGUGCCAUGUAUUACUCAUCUUGAUGUUUGAGUAAUGUAGCAGUCUAAUACUAUUUAUACCCAUAAAUCUUCCCUUUGACUUUGGUCUGCAUCUUUUACUAUUUUUCCAGCAGAACAUGAACACAUGUUUUCAUUUCUCGUAGUAGCCUUUUUUUGGCAUAAUUUAGUUGUGCUUUUUAGUCUUCAUCAUUGCGUAACUAAAUAAUGCUUUUGCUGAAGUAGGAUUUGGCCAUUGAAACUAUAUAAUAAUUUUCCAGGAAUGAUAUAUCUUGAAAACAAUUAUAUGUCGAGGCUUAAGAAGGGGGAGGGGGAAGAAAGUCUAAUGUAGAUCCUGGAAAAGUUUGCCCUGUUUUUCCUGUAUUGGAUUCUAGCUGAUGGAUUGUUAAGUCACCACAGCCCUAGCAGUUCACAGAAUGCUAUGGAAAGACUAAUCUAUUCCUGAUUAAUAAAGUCAAUGCUCUCUCUACAAGUCCAUUUUCCUGCUCUCUGUUUUCUCUCUCAUUACGCAUGUCCAGCAGUUCAUCUCUGCCUUUUGUCUUCGCCAUCAUUACAGUCUCUGCUUCUUUACACUCUACACGAACCAGUCCUCCUUUGUCCUACUAAAAGCCCUUCGUAGUAACUUGGCAGUCACAAUCCCAAUGACACCCUAGUACUGAUCUUGCUGGCCCUUCCAUGUCGUCUGAAGAUAUAUAUUGCCUUUGCCUUUACUGAAUUGCUUUCUUUGUAGACGAAGCCAAGCACUCUACUGCCACUUGUGAGUUGUGGGCCUGGUGCACCACCUGAUUGCACCCAAAAUCCUCCCACAGCUGCUUUCCUAAAAAAGGAUUUUGGAACGCACCAUCUAAUUUCCAUCCCAAAUGAUGAAACACGGUUUGGAGCAGUGGCGAAUUCAUAUUAUUGCCCCUCUCAGCUAUGAAAGAACUACAUAUCUGAUUAGGAAAUUCUGUAAUUUUUAAGUAACAUCCCCCUUUGCUCUUCUUAAAUUUUGAAUAGAAGUUCCCUUCUAGCUAAAUAUGGACCUUGGAAAGUGUGAUUUUUGCUCUUCCUAAAAUUUUCCUUUAUGGCAAGUGAAUCUUAAGAUCCUUUAAAGAAAGAUUAUUUCAUCUAAUCCUCGAGUGAAGUACAUUUUAUUGUUGCAACAUAGUGAUUCUUAAAUGCUAAUUGAGAAACUUACUACAUAUUAAUUGUCAGCAGAUGAUUGGAUUUGUGAAUAUGAGCCAAUCAGGCAUAGAUUUUGCAGAAUACUAUUCUGUUUGUUUAUUGGACAUUUUGAUAGGACAGUUAAGUGUCUUUGUUAGAUUCUUGGGGAGAGAAUAGGUUUCUCUGCAUCUAAUUCCCAUUGAAUUGCUUUACUAGUGACAAAACUGCUGAUAGUUAUACAUGCUUUCUUAAGUUGUUCCAAAUUCACUAGGUUUGAAGUGUUUUGGCUUGUUGACUUGGAGUUUGUAAUGUUUCUAUGCAGGUCCUACAACUGGAGGGUUGCUGGGGGUUGCUCCCUCUUCCACAUACCCAAAUAUGGUUAAUCAAACCAUGCCCAAUAUGCCAAAUUAUUCUGGUUCUGUUUCAGGUGCAUUUCCUGGAUUGCUUGGGAUGAUUCCUGGUAUUGUUCAGGGAGCUUCCGGCGGGGUGGUUUUACCUGGGAUUGGUGCAUCUCUUGGAGAAGUUUGUCGAGAAUACCUUAAUGGUCGGUGUGCAAAAACUGAUUGCAAGUUUAGUCAUCCUCCUCACAAUCUUCUGAUGACUGCUUUAGCUGCCACAACUAGUAUGGGCACUGUUAGUCAGGUUCCCAUGGCACCUUCUGCCGCUGCAAUGGCUGCUGCUCAGGCUAUUGUUGCUGCUCAAGCCCUCCAAGCUCAUGCUGCUCAGGCAGCACAAGCUCAGGCACAAUCUGCUAAAGAUUCUUCUGGUAUUUCUAAUGCCUACUAUUUGUGUACUAUCUAAUAAUCCUCUUAUUCAUUGCUCAUCAUUAUUGUCUGGGAAGAAUUUUGAUUCUAAAAUUUGCCACCAUUCAGCUAAUAACUGUGAAAGGCAUUAGGCUACUGUGUAUAAUGUCCAUUAUGGCCUUCCGGUGAUCUUUGUUAUUUUCUUUCUUUUCCCUUUUGCUUUUUGUACCCUGUCCAUGUUUUUCGAUAUUUAUAAGUAAGACAUCAGUUGUCCUUCUGAUGCUUAACAAUCUCGCUAUUGCUGUGAAAAAUAUGUAUUCAACUGCAAACUUGUAAUGCUUUCUGAAGUUUAUCUUUCCUUCUGUUUUUUCACUCUCUUAUUUGGUGUUUUCUACCUUUAUCUGCUUUUUUACAGGAUCAGCUGAUAAAGAGGGGAAAAAUGAUACCCUUAAAAGAACCGUUCAAGUCAGCAACCUUAGCCCACUUCUCACAGUGGAUCAGCUGAAGCAGUUAUUUGGCUUGUAUGGAACUGUUGUUGAAUGUAAUGUGACAGAUUCAAAAUAUUUUGCUUAUAUAGAAUAUUCAAAGCCUGAAGAAGCAACUGCCGCAUUAGGAUUGAACAAUAUGGACGUUGCUGGUCGCCCAUUGAAUGUUGAAAUGGCAAAAUCACUUCCUCCAAAAUCGGCCAUUCUUGGUUCAUCUUCUCUCCCUUUAAUGAUGCAACAAGCUGUUGCAAUGCAGCAGAUGCAAUUUCAGCAGGCAUUAUUAAUGCAGCAAACAUUGACACAGCAGCAGGCUGCCAAUCGAGCAGCAAGCAUGAAGACUGCAACCGAGUUAGCAGCAGCUAGAGCUGCUGAAAUAAGUAAAAGUUUGAAUCCUAAUGGGAUUGUUGCAGAAGAUAAGGAAGCUGAUCGCAAAUCUAGGUUAUUUGCACUUCUUGAAUCUCUUACUUUGUUUAUCAAAUAAUGAUUCUUUCAUGUUGACAUUGUAAAUAGUUUUGACUGUUUUGUUCAUCUAAGUAUAAUAGGCCUGCUGAUUUGAGCAAAAUCUUUUGUGAUUUGGGUAGAACCUUUCGUCAUGUCAGGCGUGAUUUUGUUAGUAUUUUCCUCGAGUUCUUUUUGUUGUUGUCCUUGUUCAGUACUAAAUAGCUGGGUUCUAUAGCUGUAAGCUGGGAUGUCAGAAGUUUCCUGGGUAGUUUGUCAAGUCACACACCACCUUUCUCUUUUUUAAUUAUUUGGAUGUGUUUCAUAUACUCUUCUUUUCCUAAAGCUGAGAUCAGCAGAAAUGGUAGUCACUCAUGGACGAUAUUUCAAAAGAUGCAUGUUUCUCAUGACUGUUUUACACUUGCAUGAUAUUUAUGGUGGGGUGUAUUUAACUCAGGUCAGUAAAGUUCUUUCAGAUUUUGAUCAAGACAUUGUGUAAUCUCCCCCCUCCCCCCCACCCUGUAAUGUGGACUUUACUGAUUUGGAAGUCUUUAGCCUGACGUAGCAAGUUGUGUCCUCUCCUUGAAGUGAAUGAGUAGUUAUUCUUGAAAUCUUUUUUAUAACGUGCUCUUAACUGCUUUUUGUUGUGUCUCUUUGGGGUUUGCUUUCUUUUUUUUCUUUUGUUUUGUUAUCCUUUUCUUGCGUUGUAAGUGUUAUUAUUCCUGGCAUGAUCUAAGUUGACAGCAUUUACAUCUUUAAUGUCCGAUCCUAUUUUAUUUAAUUUAGUUUGGCAAAUUCUAGUUCUGGUCACAUGUUCAGUACAAAUUUAAAUCUAGUGAUUCUGAUUUCGUGUUUGACAUUUUACUGUUUCAUGUUUUGACAUAAUCAUAAAUUUUUUUUUAUUUACAUAAUAAUCAUAACUUUGAUGUUUCAAUAUUAGCGUGUCAUCCUUCAUGUUUCAAGAUUGUGUUUUAAGAUGAUUUAUUUUAAAAUUUGAAGUUAUGAUUUCCAAAUAUAGAAGGGAUUUAACAACUAAAUUUGCAAUUCUUCCUCAUAAUUCUUCGGUCCACAAGGUGUUCUUUCAUGUUAACAGUUGAUGUAUCUAAUAAAGAGUUUGCUUUAGUAUCUCAUGUCUAUCUAACUAUAGGAUCUAUAAAUUUAGCAGUUAAUAUAUCAAAACUGGAAAUUUUGUAGUAUUAUACUCUUGCCGACAUAUCUAGAAAUUAUUUUGAUGGUUUGCGUGUUUAGCUAUGUUCUUUUAUCUAGUGUAACUCCUUCAGCUGUGCCUUUUUGACAAACAUUGUAUGUUGCUCCGUGGCGAGGGUAGGUCUCCAUCUACAACCCGCGCAAGGUCAAGGUCGAAGUCAAGAUCUCCUGUCAGUUACCGGCUUAGGCGUAAGUCUCGCUCUAUAACACCACCACGUCGGUACUCAAGAGGUUACAGAUCUAGAUCACCAGUAAGGUCUCGUCAUUACUCAAGCUAUGAGCAUGAAAGGAGGUCCUACAGGGAUAGCAGGGAUGAUAGUGGAAGAAGUAGGAGGAGGGAUUCAGGUAAAUCUCAUGAUCGCCAUUCUCCUGUUUCAAGAAGACGUAGAAGUAGGAGUGGGAGCCCUAGAACUAGAAGAUCAUACCGAGACGAUUCUGACUCCCCAAAACGUCAUCGAGACAGUCCAUCUCAUAGGCGAAGGAAAUCAUCUUGUGCCAAUUCAAGAUCACCUGACCACCACAGGGGAAGUAGAUCAUCCCCUAGAAACGAUGAAAGCAGAGCAAAACAUAGAAAGCGAUCCAGGUCCAGAUCAGCUGAGGUUAACCAUAACUCUGGUGAUAGGAUGGAUGAAAGUAGAGAAGAAAAGUCCAAGCACAAGGAGCGGAGGCGGUCGAGGUCCUCCUCCACUGAGGGCAAGACUCGAGAAGAGAAGUCCAAGCACAAGGAGCGGAGACGGUCCAGGUCCUUGUCCACUGAGGACAAGAUUCGGAAACGAAGUAGAUUGUCACCAAGAGUUUCAGGUGAAACCAAAUCAAAACACAAAAGGCGGUCCAGGUCUAGAUCUCCUGAAAAAAGGCAUCACGUUAGUAGUAAAGUAGACAAAAACAGUGAAGAGAAGUCCAAGCAUCACGAAAGAAGGCGGUCCCGGUCAAGGUCUACUGAAGGUAAACGGCACAAAAGUAGUGGGAUGUCGCCUAGAAGGACUGAUGAACGGAAAACAAAACAUAGGAAGCGCUCAAGGUCAAGGUCGACAGAACACAAGUAUCACUCGAGUGAUAAUGGUGUGCAGGAAACUAAGCAUGAGAAUGUGAAACAUCUGAAGGAAAGACCCACUGAAUCAGAUGAUUCCUCCAUGGAACCUGGUCCUAAGGACUUAAAUGAUUCAGAAAAUGAUGAUGGCCAUAUGGAAAUCAAUAAAAGGGAUGAGCGUGACUAUGAGAGAACCGAGGCUACUGUGACAGAACUAAACCUUACCAAAGAAACGUGAACUAGUUUGAAAUGCUGUCACCAAAGGCAAUGGUAUUUAUUUUGUGUAAUGGAGGAUUGCUAAUGCAUCAAAAGCAACCUGUACUUUGAAGUAACUCGGUUUGAAGUUUAGGCUUGUGUGGAAAGGGCUGCGAAAAGAGGAAGAUCUGGGUUUCUCUUGGAAGAUGCCUCAAUUUCUUUUCUGCUCCCAAAUAUUAGGAUGAUAUGUGGCUCUCUUGUGAUAAUUACCUUUUUUUUCUCCCUUCCUUCUUCUCCCGAUUGCAGGUUGUUGAUGGAGUGGAGUUGCUGUAUUCUGAAGCUAUCUUGCUAUCAUAUUUCAGGAAGUCCUGUGCCUAUUUAAAUCAACUGAGCUAUAAUUUAUGGAACUACUGUAUGAGCUUGAUCUAAGCUGAUCUCUUACCUUCAUCAGUAGGUAGUGAGUUUGUUCAAUGCUGUCUCUGUUUAAGGAUUUUCUCUUUUUAAGGAUACUGGUGACUCAUUUAAUUGUGUUACUACUGAACUUUGUCCUGCAUCUCUUUCCUCUUGAAUGGUAUUUGCUUGUCCUUUAGGAAAUCUGUGGUUAGAGGAACCAGCAACCUAUCUUUAAACUGUUUCAAAACAUUAGAACUCUUAGCUGUUGUGAGUUUUUGUUCCCCUUCUUUUUUCGUUGGUGAAGUAUACAGUUUGGAAUAAGGAGAACUAUAGUCUGCACAUUAGGAAUUAAUCUAUUAUUUUUAUUACAGAAUAUUUGUUUACUUGCGGGGAGAUAGGUCAUCUUACACCUCUUUCCCUUUGUUCUUUUUUUAUUGGAUAUAUUUUUCUAUUUUCUUCUUGAAUUUGUUAUUGAUAAGCAGCGGGCAGAGCUCUAUGUUAAUAGGGGCUUUUGGGCAAUAAUAGUUCAUUUUAGAUUUGCAUUUGAUGGUUUUGGUGGGCCUGUUACAUUUCAAGAACAUGCAGGUCCUCAAGCUGGUAUCAAGUGGUGCUUUACUGAUCAAUUUGGCGAGAUUGUGUUAUCUGGUUGUAUAUGAAGGUAUGCAAUCAUGGAUUCUGGUGGUCUAGUGGCAGGAGCUUUUGCUGUUAAUUUUGACUGAUAGAUUGAAUUGUUCACUGAUUUUUGUUGGUCCAAUUUUGAUUGAAGAUGAAGUUUGUUUCUGUACUUGAUACUUUGUAAUGCUCCUUUCCUCAUGUUUCUUUUGUCUUUUCCUUUUUUUUUUGGUUUUUUUUUUGGGGGGGAAGAGGGGAGGUUGGGUUUCCCCCUUCCCUUUUCUCUCUUCUUUCCUUCUUCCCUGUUUCUUCUCUAUAUUCCUUGGAAUGCUUGAUUAGGUAAUUUAUCAUUGACUCGAAAAGGAGGUUGCUGAGAUGGUUAGCAACAUAGCUUCCAGCUUUUCUCCCUGUGAAGUGAUCACAUUGGCCAACUUAAAGGGGCUGAGUUUCAUGGUGAAACUCUGUGUGCGCAGGUAAUUAGUUGUCUUAGACUGUUAUCCAAUAUCGUCUUCCUUGGAGGGAAAUGAAGUUAGCUACCCUAGGGCACGGAGAUUACUCUUGCUAAAGAUACCUAUCACUAGACAAGUAGUCUAACCCUCAGAGCAGCAGAUAGCUUGUUUGGUACACGAACCAUCUAGUUUAAUGAUAGGUAUAUUACAUUAGUUUCAUGUUGCUGAUGUUUAAUUUUGGAGUACAUUGAUGAUCAUUGCUCGAUCUGUCUAUAUCCAUGAUUGAGAGUUCACUUAUAUGCGGUCUGUGUGUACGCGUACGGAUGGGGAAAUUGUGAUUAAGCUGAAGCUCGUGAGCCAGUUGGCUGAAGUUCAGAUCACCUUACACUCUUUUAUCAUCAAUAUGGAACAAACCUAAUGUCUCAAUGGCAUAUGCUAUUAAUGUCACAACAAUCUAAUGGUGGUGCUUCUUUGCCCUUUAACUUCAGUAUUCUCACAUGUUAGUUAAUUUGUUUUGGAUAGGUAAACUUUAUUAAUUGAAAUCUAAUAGAACACACCCUAUAGUUAAUUGCUUGAUGGCUAAUGCUUAUGUUAUUUUCAUGUUGUCAAUAUCUGUAUCUUUCCUGCUGCACUCCACCAAAAGUAUUCUGAAUUCUUAACUAUAUUGGAUAUGGUGGAGUUCAUUCAGCAUGGACCUUUUUUUUUUGUACUUAUAACACGGGUUGGCUCCAGUCACAUUUCUUGGACAUUUGCAUUCUUUGUUGUUGGUGAGAGAUUUGUGAGAACUACUGGCCUGAAGGAUGGGCAACCUCGCAACUUGCUUCCUAAACUUUUAUUCUUAACAAGAUUGUUAAGGGAAAUUUUUUUUUUUGUGGCCUCAUAUUAUUGAUAAAACAAGUGAUAUAGGUAAUAUCGUGGAAAUGUGGAAACCACAAUAUUCGAUUUAAAGGCGAGAAAAAAAUUGCUGCGAACUAAAAUAUAGCUCCGAGAUUGAAUUCUUACAAUCUAGCCUUCGACAAUGGCGGUUUCAUUGUACGCCAUUAUGUUCAAAAAGUCAUUGGUCACUGCAUAAAGUUAAAGAGGAAACUUUGUGGACGGUCCAUAAAAACGAUUGCUUCUGUAUGAUUUUAUCCAAUCAACUAUAAACUAUCACAAAGCAGCCCUUGAAUUAAAAAAAAUGAUCAAUUUUUGCCGUUAGAGGUGACAAAAUUAGGGGUAAAGCCAAUCAAACAAAAAAAAUUAAUAGCUUAAAAGUCCUCAUUCAUUAAAUUAGGGUUAGAAAAGGUAGAAGAUGAAAGAAAAGGAGGCUUUAACAAGCUAUUUGUUUUGCUGGAAUAAGAGGGCAAGGAAAGGAAAGGAAAGGAAAUGGAGGGGUGUAUGAUUUUUGAUGUUUGGGAUUGGUCUUUGAAGAGAGAGAGGAAAUGAUUGGGAGGGAAGAGGAUUUAGUUAUUUUUUGUCAGCUUACUUUUGGUCUAAAAGUGGGUGAAAAUGGAGGGAAAGGACAUUAAGAUUAAUGAAAAUUUUAAAAAUUUUUAAAAAGCCUAUUAUAUGUUUAUAAAUUAAACUUUUAAAUUAUAGGUAAAAACUUAACAAACAGAUGGAUUAGAAAUGUACUAUGGUGUGUGCUUCAUAGGUUCGAGACAAGGGGGAAAAUACCCUGAAAGAAAGACCUUUACGGGGAACAUCAACGUAGUGAAAGUAGACAGCGUUUGGGACGAAAAUAUAAUUAUGUUAUGUGACCUUUAACUAAUUUGUAAGACUCUUAUGGACCUUCUUCUUCUUCUUCUUUUUUUUUUUUUUUUUUUUUGUCAAUUUGUCAAAAAAUGAGAAGUUUUCCACCCACUUCCACUUGUCCAUUUCAAAACUCCCCAUGAGUGAUGCCAAGAUGUUCACUCUUGAGCUAAAUAUUAUAAUUAUUACAACAUGUGGGUGUUUUAGAAGCCAAUUGUUAAUUUUUUUUUGUUCACAUUAACAUUUAGAAGAGAUUUACAUAGAGGUGGCAAUUUUUCCCAAGUCCCAAUGGGUUACCCAUGCCCAUGGGGACUUUGGGCGGGAUGGGUACUGAAAUUUGAUAUUGGGUUUAAAAUGAGACAAAUCCCAAUUGUACCCAUUAAUUGAUGGGAAAUCUUGGGAACUACUUGGGUACCCAUUGGGCUCAAAUAGCAAGGGCUCCGUUUGGAUUAGUUAUUUUUGGGGGGUAUUUUUGAAAUAUUUUAUUGUAGUAGUGUAUAUGAAAAAUUUUUACUAUAAAUUUUUUUUUUGAAAUAUUUGAUAUACUAAUAUAGAUGGGAUAUUUUUUGAAUUAUUGUAUAUUACUGUAAUAUUGUAUUUGAAAAACUUAUUUUUUGAAAAAAUAGCCAAUCCAAACGGAGUCUUAGAUUCAAAAAUUAUCUUUAACAAUUUUUAUAGUCAUACUAACGAAUAUAAUCUAGUAGUCUUCCUAGUCAUUAUCCACAAGAAUUUCCAGCAUUUCAGUCAAUUUAGACCUGUCAUCCUUGGACAAUGAUGAGAAUAAAUAUUCAACACCCUAAGUACCUUGACCAUCUUGAUAUAUGUUGGAAUAUGGUUGUAUAUCUAUUUUUUCCUUUAUUUGUUAAUCCAAUUUUUGGUGGGAAUCUUGAGUAUAAAGCACUUGCAUGUUUAUUUAAUAAAACUAAAAGAAAUUUAAUAAAUCAAAAAUAUUAAAUUUAUAUAAAAAAUAAAAAAUGAAUUAAAGGAAAAAAAAUAUGUAGAAAAUAGAUUUGGGUAUUGGGCGGGAUCAAUCUAAACCCAUCCCAAAGUGAUCCCGCCCAAGUUAGUCCCAAAACACGUAUGGGUAAGGUUGGCCCCAAACCCAUAUGACUCGGUUCCAUCUCAAACCCAAUCAAAUCCCGCCCAUUUUGCCACCUCUAGAUUUACACAAUGAGCAUUAUUAUACUAAGCGAAACAUCAACACCAGAUUCCAACUUUAUAGCAAGUAAACUUAAAAUAAUUGGAUGAUGAUUAUUCCUAUGACAACAAACACUUUUUCUGGAGGUUACUAUACUUUGUUCUUGCAAAAAUAAUUUAUGAAAGGGCUUUUGCAAAUAUUCUUCUUUUUUUUUUUUUGCUGAUCAAUAUGCUAAAAUUUGGCAGUAACAAGUAAGACAUACCUGCAACAAUGAGAACAAUAAGAAAUAGGCAAGAAAAAAAACCCUCAACUUAGAUCAAGAAACAAAACAGAAGCCUGGUUUUUACAUUCUAUUUGUUUUAGUAAAACUUCCAAAUUCUUACUCAGAGCCAAGGAAAAUGCAAUUAAGCAUUCAAAGCCAAGGAGAUUAAACUUAAGCACAUGUUAGUUUGAGAAUGAUUUGAUGUACAUGCGGUCAUAUUAAAAUUUUACAACACCUAGCAACCUUGAUGUUUUUUUCUUCAUGCUUAUGAAUGACAAGAAGAAAAAGACAUGCAACUGCAAGAAUUUUAAAUGAAGGUAGAGUUUUAAUUCAACCUGUGUUGGGGUGAUAGUUCACCUACAAAAUGUAAAUUAAAUGACAUAAAAUGACAGAAGAUUAGAGAGAUUUCAUGCUUUUCAAUUCCUAUUGAUGCCAUAUCAUUCCUACCUUAGUUUAAUAUGCUUCUUCUAUUGCUUCUGAGCUUGACUCAUGAGUUUUAAAAUUCUUGCUAAUUUAGACAUUUGUGAUGACCUUCAACAACAGAACAAAAUCUCUACCGUCUAAGCAUUAAUCAAUUGUUCACUUGCAACAUUCCAUAGUGUAUUUUGUGUUUCAUAAAUAAUGUGACUUGAUAGUUCCUAUAAUGUUCGAGUAGGUAGCUUUUUUUUUCCACUUAUAGAAAAGGAGAAUAUCAAAAUAGGAGGGGACGAGGAUGUACGAAACAGAAACUGAGACAUUUAACAGUUAUUUUAAGGCAAGAUACAAAUGCUUCAAUCACCAUAAUAUAUUUGAUAUUUAGCUAUGUUCCAUAGUAAAUUUAUUGACUUUGUUUUGAGCUCGAAAAUUUAACGAAAUUAGAAACGAUAUAUAAAGAAAGCAAAAGUAUAUGAAUUUUCAUUUGGUUCUUCUCUUUAUUUCACCAAUAGAUUUGUCUUAAAGUGAUAGAUAUUGUUAAGAGCCCCAAAUUCAAUCAUUAAAUAUUAGUCAAAAUAGUAGAAAAUGAGUGUGGAAACAUAAUUGUCUUUCAAGGACUAAGUUGAGAUAUAUUAUCAUAGACAUUUAUCGAUAAUAUUUGCACCGAUACAUUCAACCUUCAAAUCCGACAUGAACAAAAGUUUGAAUAACUGUAUAAAUUGUUAUAAUCGUACUCACGAAGUGCACACAUGAAUCGAUAGUGUCCCCUUAUGAAUUCUUGAUUAGGUAAACAAUAUUGCCUGUUGAAAUUAGUACUAAUUCUGUCAUGGUUGUAAAUGGCUAAAUGCAAUUGUCCUUCAUCUCCCAAACAUUCCACUUUCGAGCCAAAAAGAAAAAAACAAUUGCAAUCUCCAUUGAGUUAUUGCACGGUUUUCUUGAGGGCAUCGACUCAUUGUAUAGUAACAGAUAUAGCUUGUGUUGGGACACUUUUCUAAUGUUGAAUGUUUAGAUAAUUUAAUGUAAUAUAUGUUCAAAUCUAGUUCUUUCAAGUAUUAAUAUAUUUUUUUACGCCUUUAUUCCAUGUAAAUGUUAUGCGUAAUAGUUAAGAUCAGCAUAUCUAAAAGUGUCAUGUACUUUUUUUUUUUUUUUUUUUUUUCGACACAGGGGUGUCUGGGUCAAUCCUUACGGGGCCCGAUUAAUCCCCUGUAACCCGUGCCCGGCGCCCCCAGCCCGGCCCGAACGCGUUAAGCGCGCGGAGGAAAAAAGUGUCAUGUACUUGCAGCACUUCAAAUUCAACUCUCAAACAGACUCUAGUGAAAAGGGUAAUGAUAUUUGCAUUUUUCAUUAACUUCUUGCACAUAUUUUGAAUGUUUGUUGAUAUCAUAUGACAAGCAUGUAUAUUAGGCAAAUACAUAAUGAAGACCUGCAGGCAAGCACUUUGAUGGAGCGUGAAUACCAAUACACUACUAAAAAUUAAUCUAAGUAGUGUGUGAAUAUCCGUACACUACUUAGACAAUAAAAAUAGCCAGCUCAUAGGUUUCCUCCUCUACCCUCCCUCCAUAGGAGGGAGAUCUUGGCCUUAAGCCAAGGUCUCCCUUCCUCUUCCUUUGUCCUUUGCUCUUCCUUUCAUUCAAUAAAGUAUCUCCUAGGUUAUCCUAGUGAGAGUUUUCUUCUCUCAUAGGGUGUCCUAUUGAGAGUUUUAGUCCCUCCUAAACUAUCUUAGUGAGAAUUUUAUUUAGUUUUGUUUCUUUACUUUUUCAAAUAUUGGAGUUUUUUUUAGAUCUAUAUGUUAGAUCUACAAUUUCUUCAGUCUUCUCAUCAGAUCUCACUUUCAAUAUUGAGCUUGAACCAGUUGGACAGCAGAUUUGAGGGAAUAUUUCAUAUUUGGAUCAAUCUCGGCAGAUCUCACUAUCUUUAUUGGACCUUACAACUGUUGAUUAGCAAAUCUGACGAUUACAACAUACACAAAGAGAGUUGCAGCGACUUAUUCUAUGAUGAAAUGUUUUUCAAAUUUAUGGUACUUUUUAGAUCUGUCCUUAAUUUCUCAAAUCUUAUGUAUUUGUUAAAUUGCAGAUCUAUAAUUUUAGUGCAUGUUUAUCUGCCAUGAGGGCAGCAAUGUAUCUCAAUUGUGUUGCACGAUUUCCAGUAAUCCUUGAAUAAAAUAUGUUUUAUUAUCAAAAAAACAGCCAGCUCAUGUUGAGUUUUGGUUAGCUAGAUUGUCAGGGUUGAAUCCAAAGUCGGCCAACUACAUGUUUUGUUGGGCUGUGAAUCUUGGUAGUUUAUAGAUGAAAUAAUCAGCCAGUUUGUUUGAUUGAUGGUUCAAGUACAGUCCGACUCGUUGGUGUUAGUAGGCAUAUUGCAACGCAGGUUUCAGUGCCCGUGGCAAAUUCGUAAAGAGGUAUUCCAAAUAUGGCAGCUGGCUGAGGGUCCAGAGCAAUUCUCUCAUUGCUUCAGAGAAGCAAACAAGGUGGUAGACAUACUCGCUAAUGAAGGUCUCUUACAGCCACUUGACCCGAUUAGGGUUUAUGACCAACCAAGUCGCCUGCCACAGCUGGCAAGAGGGGCAGUCAGGUUGGAUAAAUUAGGUCUUCCCUCUCUCCGAUUUCUUAAAAAAUCAUCUGCAUAACUGGCCUCCAAACUUUCGUAGAGUUAAAACGUAUCAAGUGCCAUGUGAUAUUUUGUUGAAAAAAAAAAAAGAUUGAUGGUUCAAGUCAUUAGUUUAGUUAAACUAGGAUAACUGUAGUAAUCCUAGUUCCAUUUUGAUUAGUCUAAGUAGGGUUGUUGUCCAUAAAUAGGCGAGUCUUUUCUUUGUAAUAGGAAUUUGAAAUACCUUAGAACUAUCCUAAAUGUUGGUCCGACUUACGAAUCAACAGUCACACUUAAUUGUAGUGUCAUUCUAUCCAAACUUGAUUUACCAAUUCUAAAUCUUGUGGCUCGUCAUGUUACGAGUUGCGUCUAAAAUAGGGCGUGAGUUGUAUCAAUGUCACAAUAUUCCUGUCUUUUGUGUGAAUUUUUUUGGUAUCAACAAAAGUGAUAUUUGCAUAAAAUAUUGAUUUAAAAUUGGAUUAACAUAUUUUUGUUUCCUUUAAGAGCAUGGAUAAGAUAUGUUUUAAGUGAUAAGCAACGAUCUUGAUCAAAGUUUCUUCAACUACUUUUUUUUAAGUAAUAAUAAUGAUAUCUGCUCUAGAUCUAUUGAACGCAAUUAAACAAUAAAUUUAUUAAUUUUCGAAGCCUAUUCAUGCUAUAAAGUUUUAAGUAAAAACCAAAUCCAUUUGAAAGUGUUCCAUGAAAAUGUCCCUUCGGUCACAAUGUACAUCGUAGUUUGGUUAUGCGAGAGAAGUUUGCAUAGAUUUUCACCCGCUAUCUAGGAUAAUUAGUCAUCAUCAAAUCUAUUUUAAAUAACUUUUGCAGUGUUUAUUUUUCUAAAAUCAUUAAAGUACUAAUUAAACCACAAAAGCCUAAGGUACAGAUUUCUGAGCAAAGAAUAGGAAAUGUCUUUACCUUCGGCGUUUUUAAAAGCAAAGGGCAAUAAACAUAUUAUUAUAAAUACAAUAUAAGCUUUUUACUUGAUUGGAAUUAGCAGAUUCAAGCUGAAGUUUUUUUUUUUUUCUAAAUCCUCUCUCCCCUCUCCACACUCCUUCCCAUCCUACAAUUAAGUGGAAAAAUGCUUCAAUCACCAUAAUAUAUUUGAUAUUUAGCUAUGUUCCGUAGUAUAUUUAUUGACUUUGUUUUGAGCUCGAAAAUUUAACGAAAUUAGAAACGAUAUAUAAAGAAAGCAAAAGAAUAUGAAUUUUCAUUUGGUUCUCUUUAUUUCACUGAUAGAUUUAUCUUAAAGUGAUAGAUAUUUUGUUAAGAGCCCCAAAUUCAAUCAUUGAAUUUUAGUCAAAAUAGUAGAAAAUGAGCGUGGAAACAUAAUUAUCUUUCAAGGACUAAGUUGAGAUAUUUUAUUAUAGACAUUUAUGGAUAAUAUUUGCACCGAUGCAUUCAACCUUCGAAGCCGACAUGAACAAAAGUUCCAAUAAAUGAUUUAAAAUGCCUCCUCUGUGAAAUUUUGAGUGUCAGCAAAUUAAAGUGAUGUAUGCAUGGACAUAAUGGUCUAGAAUUGGAAUAACAUAUUUUUCUUUCUUCCUUAAAAGCUGGAAAUAAGAUGUUUUAAGUGAGCAAUGAUCUUGAUCAAACUUUCUUGAUCCUAUGUGCACUAUAAGAAAAAAAUGUUUUUAAGUUACAAAGGUACUACCUCAACUCACAAAUAUUAUAUCCAUUCUAUAUCUUUCUCAAUAUCAUUCCUAGUAAUGCGAGUAGAAUUAAUUUGUAAUCCUUGAAACUCCUCAUCUUAAUUAUAGCUAAACUAUGGUUAUUUCCACUUGUGAAAGUCUGAAACUGAUCAUGUCGACAUAGUGAGCUAAACUACAUUUUGAAGAAACCUAUUUAAACGGCAAGGAGAAUUUUCAUAAAGCAUUAAAUAUCACAUAAGGCAGUUAUAAGAAGUAAUAUAACAAUCUUUCUAAGAUGGCAUCGGAUAUCAUCUGUCAUCCACCGCAGCGACAUUAGAUGCAUUUCUAAGGACUUUCUUAAAUAGUUAAACUAAUUUUGGUUGAAAGAAACACAAAAAAUAUGAGUUAUUAUUAUAGCAAAAUAUAUAGUUUUUUUUUUUCCCUCAAUCCUCCCUCCCCUCUCCACACUCCUUCCCAUCCUCAAUUAUCAGCCUCAUGACUCAAACUUUGAAUUUGACACUUGCGGGAGCUCAUAGCCGCUGAACCAACAUGGCCCAGUGGGAUGAAGCUGAAAGUUCGAAUGAUGACAUUACAAUAGCACAAAAUUAUAGGGCUAGCUAUAGUAAUUAGGUGAUGUUGGUGUGUAUUUUCACACUGACCUCAUCACGGACGUGUAAAAACGGGUUCCAUGCUGGUGGACCAUGAUUUUGGUGAUUAGGUCCGACAUUAUGACGAAUUGAUUUAUGGGGUGCAUUACCACAUUUUUAGGCCUAUAAAUACAAGGAGUCUGGUUCUCGGCUAUACCAAGUUUUCGACAGUAACCAGUUACAAAUAUCAGUGUAUUAGCUAGCGAGUUCUUCAAGGAAAAGUUGGCUGGACAGGUGAAUAUUGAUUGUAUGCCUAGCUGGACCUAGAUUUCUUUCUUUUUCAAGUUUGUGUGUGGUUUUUCGGUAUCAACUCAUAAACAACUUGUAUAGGAACGCUUCAAAAAGGUUAGGGAGUUGCAAAUUAAAGCAAUUUCAACAUUCUUGAAUUGUCUUAAGAAAUAUUUUGUAUUUCUGGUUGCCUACAUGCAUAUGGGUAAGCGGUCUCUAGAAUUGUUUGAUUAAGCUUCCUGCCAGCAAUGUAGUUUCUUACUAAUUGGUUGGAUUUAGUUUUGUGGUUGGUUGUCUGAAAUAAUUCUAAUUGAUUUUGGGAACUCAAUUGUUUUGGGUUUUCUGACUGAGAAAAAAAAAUGUUCGGGGUUUACAGAUGGACCUAGUACCAGUGAACCCGGCUGAGCCUCACGUGACCGCGAUUGGACAAUUUGCAGUGGAUGAGGAAAACAAGAAGCGGCCGACUAAUAAGCUGAAUUUUGUCGCCGUGGUUGGCGGAUACCAUGGGCCCGUUACUGGAGCCACUCGCUACCCACUCAUCCUUGGAACUCAGGAUGGUAAAGGCCACACAUUUCUGCACAAAGCACUUGUCCAUGAGAAACCAGAUGGAAGCUUGGAACUCAAAGGGUACUGGGAGUAAUCAAGCGCUACCCUUGAUCAUCAACUGAGGAUCAACGACUUCAAGUACUUUAAUUAUCUAGUGUCUAUAUAUGGUGUGGUUUUCAGUUUAUGCAUGCAUGGAUGAUGUACAGCUGCCAUGCAUACAUCUUCCCACUGUUUUAUUAGUAUGUUGAAUAAGGUGCACUUGUACCAACAAAAAUGCACCAUUCCGUCUCUGUUUGAGUUUGUGUCUGUGUCUUUUGUGUCUGUGUUUGUAUCCUUGUACUGGUAUGUUAAAUAAAUAAAAACAGUCGUGAGUUUGAGUUUGUAUCCGUGUAUUUUGUUUCUUUAUUACUUGAAUGCAGGCUCCAAUCUCUCAGUUCUGUAUGUCAACUGGAUACUAUAUUCAUGACUAGUUAUAAAUUCUUAGUAGUUAAGUAUUACUUGAAAUGAACACAAACCUGAGAAAGAAAUGAAAGAUUAACUGCUAUAUUGAGAGAAAGAUAUGUAACUCUGAAAACCACAGUUCAAAGAUGAGAAAGAUAUAUUUUUCCCCCUUUUUCAUUUAUUUUUGCCAACUUGAUAGAUAGUAUUAAGAUACUAGCCAGUAGCUCCUUUAGUGCAAUAAGUAGGAGAUCCAAAAUGCGUGUUAAGGGUUCGAUUGAAAGUUCGAGAUAUGUGAUUAGCUAGUAACUAGAUUGGUGAAGAUGUGAUUGGGCAAGUUGAGUUGUGUUUUAAUAAUUGCAAAAUUUGAUGUAUUCCUCACCAAGUUAAUGUAUACAAAUAUUCACAUGCAGUAAGACCGUAAGAAUUUACAUUAUAAAAUUUUCUUUAUCAGCUAUUAAUCUUCUGCUCAUUCUGUUUCAUUAUCAGCUUUCAUCCUUCGGAGAUGCAACUAUUCAUGGGGAAGCAACUCCAAAUACAUCAUUAGUCAAUUCCUAAUACUUAUGUCCAGGCUCCAAUUCCAGGCUCAAUCACGCCAGUCCAUCUGAACCAUCAUUUUACCUCAACUUACUGCCACACAAGGGUCCUUUCUAUUUGCUUCAGUGCUAGCUUCAGUGUUUUCCCAAACCCGCCCACGAAAAAAUAACUUCAUUCCCUCCAACAGAUUUUGUAGGAGAUGGGAAAAGAGGCCAGUUCAAAAUUAUAAAUUUGCUCCCUAUUUUCUUACAAGACCAAGAAAUAUAUUUACAAAAGCUAAAAACAUAUCUACAAUUACCACUUUUACUUAUGGGGUAAAACUAAGUUACUAUUCACUUUUUUUUUUUUUAAAUGGUUAUUUUAAACUUUUGCAUUAGAUGAGAAGCGACUCAAGUAAUUGCUUAAAACGAAGAGAUUAAAGCACAAUUUACCUCUAACUUCAACAGGUAAAGGCACAAUAUAAGGAACUUUUUCGGAGCUUGCUUCUCCACAUAAAGAAGUAAAUUCUAAUUGUAUUAUCUGCAAUGCAUCGACUUACUGUAUAGUAACAAAUAUAGCUUGUUUUCUAAUGUUGAAUGUUUAGAUUUAUGAUAUGAGUGUAUACAAAUUUCCGUAAAUUUUAGUGUAAUAUAUGUUCAAAUCUAGUUCUUUUACACCUUUAUUACAUAUAAAUGUUAUGCGUAAUAGUUAAGAUCAGCAGCGUAUCUAAAAGUGUCAUGCACUUCAAAUCCAAGUCUCAAAUAAACUCUAGUGAAAAGGGUAAUGAUAUUUGCAUAUUUCUUUAUCUUCUUGCACAUAUUUUGAACAUUUGUUUGUAUCAUAUGACAAGCAUAUACAGUAGGCAAAUACACAAUGAAGACCUGCAGGCAAGCACUGUGAUGCGUGUGUGAAUAUCAAUACACUCCUAGAAAUUAAUCUUCUAUAUAUAUUACCAAACCCUCAAUAUUCAAAUAUUUUCCACAGUAGGCUAUGUCCCUCUCCCAUAAGUAUUUUGACAAAGGUGUGAUUCUUUAGCUCAGAUGUUGAUUCCGCAGUAGAAUUUUGAGAAUAUGUCCUGUAUAGGAGGCACAAUUAGCGCCAUCCAAUUGGCCCAAAACUCGGUUCAAUUAGCUAGGCCUGAUGUACAAAUUAAAGAGAAGGUAACUUUGUAGUACUAAAAUUCAUCAUUACAGAAAAAUUUGCAGGGCAUCCCUUAGGAAAAAUAAUUGUGAAAACCCAAGAGGCUCAGAUGCACAUGAGGCCAAACUUUAAAGUUCUCAAAGUUAGAGUAGAAAAAUUUGAUGGAGUUUGUGAAAAGAAUUUAUUGCAAUUUGAUUGAAACGAGUAUCUCGUUUCCAAAAAAAAAAAUAAGGCGUUUCUCAGAGCCAAGUGGUAAGAAUUUAUUGCUAGCCUUAUCUAAACUUUUGGACCAUAUACUAUCUUAGUCAAGAUGAUAAGCAAUUGGGACCCUAAUCAUAUAAGGAAAUCUAACUACAAAGCAAUUGAGACUAAUCUUUGUUCCCUUGUAGAAACUGAACAGUUGCGACUGACAAAAAAAGGAUAAAAUCCUUAUACGAACAUUCUCUAGAAGAAGAUAUAUACCACUGAAAAAUAGAAACAAAAUUGCAGCUUAUUUUCCCAACGCUCAGCAUUUUACAUCAAUUAGAAAUGGCAAACAAUAGAAAACUUGAAUGGUGACCAAAGCACGAAUAUAAUCUUUUACGAAGUGUUGGACAUGAAUAGUGACCUCGAAUAGAUGUGACACCACUACAACAAAAAUGGCCUUUAGCGACAUUUAAAGGUAUCAGUAUAGAUAAUCUAACCUGACACUUUAUCUAUCCUCACACCUAGGGCGAGUGUUGUCCCUUCCAAUGUGGGGAUAGCCUCAAAUCUUUAGCAACAUUCAAAUGUGUCAGGAAAACCAUGCUGCUAUAGCAUUCCCUCUGCCAACAAAAUUUUUUUUUUGUGAUAAUCGAAAGUGUCAGUAUACCAUUAGAACAUCAGUAGCGGAUCAAUAGGAUAUCCAAUUUAUGAAGGCAUCUUGAGUUGUCUUAAUAUAUGGCUUUAAGGACACGUAGCCAUGUGAAUUUACACUGCUUUGGACGACAUGCCCAUUUGUCAUUAGUGUUUUUCGAAGCUAAGCUAUGCUGACACUUUUAAUUGCUAGGAGUUUUUUCUCUAUUUUUUUUAUAUGGAAGCAACCUGCAAUUAGUCCUCCCCGCUGUACAUUCCAUCAACCAGAAUCCCAAGGGACUUGUAAAAUUAACCCAAAGAGCAGAAUGCAUAUAGCAAUUUAAAAGAAGAAAUCGAUACUCAAAUAUAAUUCAUUGAAUUAAAAGUCGGUAACAAGUACAAACAUAGCAAGUACUAAAAUCCCAAACAAGUACUAAAACAUUCUCAUGUACACAAACUUGAAAUACUCUCUUGUGCACAAACUAAAAGAUUCUCAUCCCUAACAAGUUGAAAGAACUAACAGUAGCUUCCAAACUUUCCAAUGAAAUGAGAGCUUUCAAUCAUAACCACGAAGUCCCCAUCAAUCUUCAGCUGGUUCCACCUGUGCACAAAGUUUGUGGGAGAUCAUUAGAUCAUCAUACUAACAAGAGCUUUCCAGAAAAGCCACUAUGUAUUUGCUAAAGAUCAAAUUAAAUUGUCGUGAUUCCAGAGGCGAAGCCAUUCAUGAUGAGACCUAAGAGCCACGAUGUAAAGAUAUGAACCCCUUUUCCACUACUCUGGGUUAGGCCACGAGCCAUGUCAUUUUGUUUGAUUCAAAGUUAGGAACCAUUCUAAGGAUUUAAAUUUGUUCAAAUUUUCUGUAUUCGACGAAAUAAUCACUUCCAGGGGGAAAUUUUGCAACCCACUCACACUUAAGAUCAAUCUGCUAUCAAUGAAAAACUAAACCUUGUAUCCACUCAGUAACAUAAAGUCAACUGCUAACAAAACUAGUUACAUGCAUUUCAUAUCGGCAAUUACAGGACAGAUCAAUGCGUAAAGUUAAAAGCUUUCAGAAUAAGUAUUAGCAACUCAAUGCCCAUAAAGCCAAUACAUAAAUGUGCAGCAGUAGCUGAUCAUGAAGCUUUAGUUGCAUUUACUUCUUAAAUAUUAGCUAGAGAAAAGAUCAUAACGUUUCCCACCUGGAAGCUUUAAUUUCAUCUAUUAGUUACCACCUCAUACUUGCCAACAACCAUAAUCACACCACUCAUCCUCUUAUACCAACCACAAAGUCCAAUAAACCCAAUCUCCUGCCCCCUGACCCUCCUCUUCCCUACCCAAAAAAAAAAAAGAAAACUUAAAAAAGAAAGAACAGAACAAGAAAUGGUUCUUGGAACAUUUACAAUUUUCACAACCCUUUCACAACAAAUACAUGGAAAACACUAAUGAACAUCAUCUGUAGGCCCAAUUGAAUCAAACAAAACUGACUACUAGUGAAAUAAGAGCCUUUAGUCAUAACCAUGAAUAUCCCAUCAAUCUUCAACUGGUUCCUCUUAUCUCACUGGAAAGGUUAAACAACAGAGAUAUCUUGGACAAAAUUUCACGAAGCACUAACAUCACAAAUGAACGAAUCCAAGUGCUCAAUGAAGAAGUUUGAAUGAUUACUUGUGAUUACUUGUUCACUGGAUUGUCACAAUUAGCACAUCUAGACUAUAUAGUAAGUAAACAUAUCAAAUACUAAUAAACAAGGAUAAGGGAGUGAUUUUCGAAUUAUAGAACUAAUUAAUAACAUUAAGAUAUUUGCUUGAGUAUUUGUUCUGUCCCCUUUAAGGCAUCCUAUGAUUAAAUCAUAGCAAUUGAAAGAACAUAGGUACAAACAAAACUCAUUACGUCAGUCAACCCAGUUAUUAAAAGAAAUUAAAAACUCCCACAAGCCUGCAGCAUUUUUGUCUAAGAAAAGCCCAUGACGUGUCUGCUUGAGAGCACAAACAGUUAAUUGGCAUUAAAGACGAAUUACCAUGGAGUAAAACUACACAGGUAUGCAGAAAACGAACUUAAAGCACAAUGGAAAAGGAAAUUGCAAAAUGCGUACCAAAGAGAGAUCAAAUUAAAGAAAAAGGCUAACAUUCAAUAGUCAGUCAUUAAAUACGUAUUGUAUAAAUAAUAUCUCACCCUUAGUUCCACACGGGAAAGAUAAGGCCUCUUCUCUGUGUCAUGAGAAAAUUGAACUUUUCCCUUUUUCUCUCCUGACUUCAUCCAUUCCUUAUUAACAUUGGGACAAAUCCACAUAUCUUCCAUGUCUUCUUUCGAAGUUCUGGAGUUCCAAGUUGUAUUCAAUGGACCUGCUGCCUCGUGUAUAAACACACAAAAUUUCUUUUUCAGUACAAAUUGGAGUGAAUUAAUAAAAGAUAGAAUGAGAUUCACAGUAGUCAUAUCAUAAAAUUCAAAAUGCUAAUUUGGUAAAAGUCAAACUAGUCAGGUUUCAAGGAUUGACCUAGAAAAAUUGGAUAUAGGUUAGACUGAUUAGGCACUAUUUGCAAGGAAUUCAUACUAAUAAAACACCAGAAAAGAUAUUUCAUUCUGGAGAAAGUGCACUUCUUCUGUCUCCUUAACUAAGGUAUCCAAAUAGAAUUACAGCUUUAUGUUUUGGUGUAAAGACAAAAUAGUUAAACCCAAAAUGUUCAAGAAACUAAGAUGAGAUAUUUCUAGGACAGAACAACUUAAUCUCAGUCCUCCACUUGUUCUAUCACUAAACCAACGACAUAACCCGAAUCAUAUUCCAACAGGGAGACUGCAUUUUUUCAUAGAUUAAUCAGAAGAUAACAAAAUUUGAAAUACAGUAAAAAACAACGGAACAUGUGUAUCUACCAACUUAUAAAGCAAUGAUCAUAAUACUUGCACAUUAAAAAAAAAUUACAAGUUUAGCUCAACUUAUCACCUUCGAGUUAACAAGGAAACAUACACUUAUCAGCAACAGAGUCUUAUGUGACUAUAUAUAUUGACACAAUUCGUUUACCCAACCUAGAUUGAUUAAAUUGACGACUAUAUGAGUUAUUUCAAGCUACAGUAGAGCAUAGCAGUAAACAUUCAUUGUUGCACAAAAUCAAAAUGAUCUCCAUGCCAAAAAUAGCAUCUUCAUCAAGUAGCCAAUCAAAUGAGACUACUAGCUUCUAAAAAGAGAUUUACCUUCUUGUAUUAUUGUCAAAGCUACAAAUUAGUGUAGUAUCAAUAUUAGAAAAUGAGUUUCUUUUCACUAAAUUUCUAUUAGUGUAUAUAUUAUUGAGUAAAUUAAUAUCAGUACCAAAAGAAAGAAGGUUGACAUUUUAUCGAACAGGUUAUGGACAACAAAUCCUUAAAGCUGAACAGGGAGAUUUAGCAAAAAACAUUAUAUCAGAUUCAACAAAAACAUUGUAUCAGAUUCAAGUAGACAACCAAUAGGAAUCAAUUUAGGGCAGGAAGAAGUAAACGAGGUAUAUCAUGGGGGUUAAAGAGAGUCCCGCACCCCUUUCACCUGGUCUUUUUGUCCUUGGAGCGGAGGUUCCUACUAUAAGACUAGAAACUGGAAAUCAAAUUGCAAAAGCUGCAAGAACUGCAUUAACUCAAGGACUCAGCUAUCCAACACUCUUGUGGCUAGGCUGGUGGGAGAUUGGGAUCUUUGUAGAAAGGCAGGUUGUCCCUAAUGCCCUCUAUCGAAUAAGGAGUAGUAGUACCCCAACCAAACAAGGGUUAGUUGUGUGGUAGCUGGAAUCUGGCUUGCUGCCAAAGGGGUUGGAUAUCGAUUGUUCCGCUGUCACCAACCUGAUUGCUCGCUGCUAGAUAUUAAUAGCCCACAAGUCUUCAUCCCCAUUUCAGUUAGGGCAGAUGGCUCCUGUGUGGGCUGUUGCUUUCGCAUGGCCUGCUUGAAACUACCCAAGUUUGCCAAGGCACGAUUGUGUGCACUUGAAUUUAGGGCCUUAGCCUCCUGGCACUCCAACUUGCAACGACGAGGGAAUUAAGAUCUUCGGCAAAAGCCUCUUUCUUGGGGUCCCAAAAAGAGAGAGCCAAGAAGCGGUGGCACUUGAAUCGCAGGUUCUGAAAACAGUGAAGGGUCUCUCGAGGAGAGGCCCAAGCAUAAUUACCGGUCUUAGCUCCUUCCUCCUCAGAUGGACAGAGCCUCCUCUUUCCUUGGGAAUUUCUUUUCUCUCUUUUUACUUUUUUCAAAGCUUUCAUGUGGUGGGUUUUGUCCCAGAUCCUCUUUCUGCAGUCCAUACCUUCAAUAGGAAAGCAAGGGUAGUUUGAUUGCGGAGAGAUUCAACAGAAAAAACUUUGUGGGCAAAGACAAAUUUUGGCCGAGAGUUUUGAGAGAUAGUUUGCCAAGAGAGAGUUUGUGGGAGAGAUGAGAAGAAUCAAAAUUUCACUUGCCGGCAAAAUGAAAGAUUUGAGAUUUCACUAAGUGUUUUGGCAGGCAAAGGAAUCCUCUACCAAAAUCAAACGACAUGGUUUUGUGUUUUAACUUUUUUGAUGUGUCUCACAUUUUCUCAAGUGUCAUGAUAGGGAGCCUAAAGAUACAUUAUUAUUUUUAUAUCAGAUAAAAUAAAAAAAAUUAAAGUAUAUAUUAUUGAAUUAAUAACAAGUGUCAUGAUAGAAGUGUUAUAAUGACACAAACCAACAAGUGUCCUUAUAGACGUGUCAGGAAAGACCAUUUUUGUUGUAGUGCACGGUAUGAAAGCGUGAUAAAUCAAAGGGUCACACAAAUACUCUUCAUAGGAAGAAUCAAAGGUGAUUCACAAUCAAUCCUAAGAGAAAUUAGGAUUCAGACUAGAACCUACACAAGAUUCAACCAGAAUCUCAUACCCAAAUAUGCAAUUGUCUUAAAAAUAUCAAUAGUAUUAUCAAUGCCUAAAUAGUAGAACCCAAAGGAUAAUUAUUUGUAGGCUACAAGUAGGCUAUACCAAAUAGAAAAAAAUACAAUUAAAAUAGAACAUUGGCUAAACUUCGCAGUGCCAAUCAACUAGGAUCCAUAGACGGAUCCGUUUCGGCUGGUUGCGAAUUCGUCUCGCCAACGUCUGCCUCGAAUUCUGCUAGACAGUCUGGCAGUGGAUUCGAGGCUUGGAUUGCAUGUGCGACCCUUUUCCUUCUUUGACCAUUCUUCUUACACCAUCUUUUAUUGACACAGAUACAAUUAAAAUAAUAGAUAAAUAAAUAAAAAUACUAAUUAAACACGAAAAUUCACCCUAACUAGGAACCCUAAAUGAAGUAUUAUUUAAAUAGACAAGGAAUACGAGAAUCUAUAGGUCCUCAUUUUGUGUUAGACUCUCCCAUGGAGAAGGUUGAUACACGAGCCAUGAGAAGUAGCCACAAUUCUUCCACGAAUCUUGUAGGGUCGAUGCUUGCAAUGGAACUGUUGUACCUAUUCAUGAACAUAAGGAACUACAUAUGAUCUUGGGACAAUUGCAAAACCAAAAAUUGCACCAUCCAACAAGGUGAGAACAAAUUUGACUAUGUAUAACUAUAACAACAUAGGGAAACGGCACAAACAAGAGGCUCAUUUGGAGCGAAUCUCCCAACUGUAUACUUAUCUUGGACACGGUGUCUACAUCCUUGUCUUACACAUGUAUACUCAUCAUGAACUCAUCUGUUGAAGUAGCCUUGUGCUUCAAGCCGAUCGAAUGCUCACAUAAGCUUGUCACAUGUCUACAUAUAGUGUUCAAUCUAAGAAUUGUUGUGAUAUGCAUUAGUGAUCGUUGCAAGAGAAGCCUGCUCUGAUACCACCUGCUGUAGUAUGCAAGCGUGCAUGAUAAAGUAAAGGGGUUACAUGAACAUCUAAGAAUCAAGGUGAACCACAAUCAACCCUAAAAGAAAAACAUCAUUCAAACUAGAACCCAAACAAGAUUCAACAAGAAUCACACACCUAGGACGCAUCCCAAGGGACAAGGUAUAACAUCCCAAACACACAAUUGUAUUAAAAUUAUCAAUAAUACUAUCAAAGUUUGAAUAAUACAAACAAAAUUUUGUUUUUCAACCCACUAUUAGUGACUCCUUUAAAUAUUAAUAAGAUUGUCAUCUAUGUACCACCCUCAGUUUUGACUUGGGCAAAAAUUGGACAAAAAUAUUGAGUUCUCGAGAACCACCUCUAAAACCAUAGUGUUACAUUAGGUGCAAACAUUUCAACCAGGUCUAUUGUGACUCUGUAAUUGCCCCAGUACUUACACACACCGGUUUACACAAAUAACCAAGAGUUCAAGAUUUAAACAUCCCCAAGUUCAAACAAAGUAAACUCCACAAUUGUAUAGUAAAAAUAAAGAUCAAGACCAACAUUAUUACAUGAUUUUGUCAAUAAUCCAAAAAGUUAUCCUUUUACAAAUGACAAAACCAAACCCCCAUCCCAAAAAAAAAAUUCCGAUAGAAAAAAGAAUAAGGGAAAAAAAUUAAGAACAUGACGUAUAGGAGGAAGUGGUCGCGCGUGUGAGUACGCAAGAUUUAGACCAAUAACCGUAUAAUAGGUACUUUGAAAAAUAUUUGAGUAGGAAACAAAAGGCUGGACGGAAUUUGGUCUUCCUUUUUUUUUUUCCUUUUGUUUUGAGUAGGAAAAUAUUUUAGAAUAUUGGAGAAGUAGGAAAUUUUUUGUUAGUAUUUGUCAGCGUAUUAUUGUGAGGCCCGUUUCCAGCUAUAAUGAGGUGACAUUUCAUUAUAGCUAUAAACAAUGAGACGUGUUCCUUGCUGGUCCAAACGUCAGAUGAUUUUGGUGCUCAGGUCCGGCGUUACCACAUUCUUAGUCUAGAUGAUAAGCAAUUGGGACCCUAAUCAUUUAAGGAAAUCUAACUACAAGGCAAUUGAAACUAAUCUUUGUUCCCUUGUAGAAACUGAACAGAUACGACUGAAAAAAAGGAUAAAAUUCUUAUACGAACAUUCUCCAGAAGAAGAUAUAUACCUCUGAAAAAUAGAAACAAAAUUGCAGCUUAUUUUCCCAAAGCUCAGCAUUUUUACAUCAAUUAAAAACAGCAAACAAUAGAAAACUUGAAUACAUUAAGCACUGAAGCUUGAGCAAAGCACAAAUAUAUUCUUUCACAAUGUGUUGGACAUGGGUGAUGCGGUAUGAAAGUGAGACAAAUAAAAGGGGUUACACGACUACUCUCAAUAGGAAGAAUCAAAGGUGAUUCACAAUCAAUCCUAAAAGAAAAUCAGGAUUCAAACUAGAACCCACAUUUGAUUCUACAAGAAGCACACACCUACGAUGCACCUCAAGGCAUAAAUGAUGAGCACCACAGGGGAAGUAGAUCAUCCCCUAGAAACGAUGAAACCAGAGCAAAACAUACAAAACGAUCCAGGUCCAGAUCAGCUGAGGUUAACCAUAACUUUGGUGAUAGGAUGGAUGAAAGUAGAGAAGAAAACUCCAAGCACAAGGAGCGGAGGAGGUCCAGGUCCUCCUCCAUUGAGGGCAAGACUCGAGAAGAGAAGUCCAAGCACAAGGAGCGGAGACGGUCCAGGUCCUCGUCCACUGAGGACAAGAUUCGGAAACGAAGUAGAUCGUCACCAAGAGUUUCAGGUGAAACCAAAUCAAAAUAUAAAAGGCGGUCCAGGUCUAGAUCUCUUGAAAAAAGACGUCACGUUGGUAGUAAAGUAGACAAAAACAGCGAAGAGAAGUCCAAGCAACACGAAAGAAGGCGGUCCCGGUCAAGGUCUACUGAAGGUAAACGGCACAAAAGUAGUGGGAUGUAGCCUAGAAGGACUGAUGAACGGAAAACAAAACAUAGCAAGCGCUCAAGGUCAAGGUCAACGGAACACAAGUAUCACUCGAGUGACAAUGGUCUACAGGAAAGUAAGCAUGAGAAUGUGAAACAUCUGAAGGAAAGACCCACCGAAUCAGAUGAUUCCUCCAUGGAACUUGGUCCUAUGGACUUAAAUGAUUCAGAAAAUGAUGAUGGCCAUAUGGAAAUCAAUAAAAGGGAUGAGCGUGACUAUGAUAGAACCGAGGCUACUCUGACAGAACUAAACCUUACCAAAGAAACGUGAACUAGUUUGAAAUGCUGUCACCAAAGGCAAUGGUAUUUAUUUAGUGUAAUGAAGGAUUGCUAAUGCAUCAAAAGCAACCUGUACUUUGAAGUAACUCGGUUUGAAGUUUAGGCUUGUGUGGAAAGGGCUGUGAAAAGAGG